Molecule: non-coding RNA, 204 nt
Filed under: Cucumis melo (muskmelon)
Lineage: Eukaryota; Viridiplantae; Streptophyta; Magnoliopsida; Cucurbitales; Cucurbitaceae
Description: Eukaryotic small subunit ribosomal RNA
Rfam family: Eukaryotic small subunit ribosomal RNA
Source: Rfam by way of RNAcentral
AUUAGCUAUAGUCGGCUAAUAGUUUAAUGAAUUCUAAAAACUAUGCAUUAAAAAGGAGAAAUCCUAUCUUUGAAAAACUAUAGCCUUGGCCGACAGGUUCAGACAAUCUUUGAAAUUUCAUCAUGAUGGGGAUAGAUCAUUGUCAUUGUUGGUCUUCAACGAGGAAUACCUAGUAAGCGUAAGCCAUCGUGUUGACUACGUCCC